AUGAAGCCGGAAUUGCUAGUAAUGGCAGGUCAGCAUACUGCCGUGAAUACGUUCCCGGGCCUUGUACACACCGCCCGUCACACCAUGAGAGUUGGGGAUACCCGAAGCCUGUGAGCUAACUUUUAGAGGCAGCAGUCGAAGGUAGAAUCAAUGAUUGGGGGUGAAGUCGUAACAAGGUAGC
RNAcentral lists this ribosomal RNA (181 nucleotides) under uncultured bacterium. RNAcentral's name for it is "partial 16S ribosomal RNA". It matches the Rfam family "Bacterial small subunit ribosomal RNA", at positions 1320 to 1500 of the family's 1533-position model. The record is from RNAcentral.